This 192-nucleotide small nucleolar RNA is filed under the name Jaculus jaculus (lesser Egyptian jerboa). RNAcentral's name for it is "Small nucleolar RNA U3 (ENSJJAG00000003085.1)". It matches the Rfam family "Small nucleolar RNA U3". Rfam says of the family: Small nucleolar RNAs (snoRNAs) are involved in the processing and modification of rRNA in the nucleolus. There are two main classes of snoRNAs: the box C/D class, and the box H/ACA class. Lineage: Eukaryota; Metazoa; Chordata; Mammalia; Rodentia; Dipodidae. The record is from RNAcentral.
AAGAGUACACUUCCAGGGACCAUUUCUAUAGCUGUUUACUAGAGGAGUUUCUGGGUGGAGUACCGGGAAGCACGAGGAGGAGGCGGCGGCGGCGCAGCGUUCUCUCCUGAGCUUGAAGCUGGCCCUGGGCGUAGUUUCAUGCAACCGCCCAUUGCCAAUGAUAAUGGAGGGAGAGAAUACAGUCUGAGUGGC